GACGAACGCUGGCGGCGUGCUUAACACAUGCAAGUCGAACGGAAAGGCCCUGCUUUUGUGGGGUGCUCGAGUGGCGAACGGGUGAGUAACACGUGAGUAACCUGCCCUUGACUUUGGGAUAACUUCAGGAAACUGGGGCUAAUACCGGAUAGGAGCUCCUGCUGCAUGGGGGGGGUUGGAAAGUUUCGGCGGUUGGGGAUGGACUCGCGGCUUAUCAGCUUGUUGGUGGGGUAGUGGCUUACCAAGGCUUUGACGGGUAGCCGGCCUGAGAGGGUGACCGGCGACAUUGGGACUGAGAUACGGCCCAGACGCCUACGGGAGGCAGCAGUGGGGAAUAUUGCACAAUGGGCGGAAGCCUGAUGCAGCAACGCCGCGUGCGGGAUGACGGCCUUCGGGUUGUAAACCGCUUUCGCCUGUGACGAAGCGUGAGUGACGGUAAUGGGUAAAGAAGCACCGGCUAACUACGUG
Molecule: ribosomal RNA, 468 nt
Filed under: uncultured bacterium
Lineage: Bacteria
Description: partial 16S ribosomal RNA
Rfam family: Bacterial small subunit ribosomal RNA
Source: RNAcentral